GGUGAGAACCCCGCACGCCGAUAGACUAAGGUUUCCUCAGCCAUGCUAAUCAGCUGAGGGUUAGUCGGGACCUAACGCGAACCCGAAGGGGGUAGUGGAUGGACAACAGAUUAAUAUUUCUGUACUUGUAUAUACUGCGAUGGGGUGACGAAGCUGUGACAAUCCCGCGAUCUGACGGAAUAGAUCGUUGAAGCGUGUAGAUAUUGGCUGUAUAGGUAAAU
This 221-nucleotide ribosomal RNA is filed under the name Karenia brevis. RNAcentral describes it as "partial Bacterial large subunit ribosomal RNA". It matches the Rfam family "Bacterial large subunit ribosomal RNA", at positions 1320 to 1541 of the family's 2925-position model. Lineage: Eukaryota; Dinophyceae; Gymnodiniales; Kareniaceae. The record is from RNAcentral.